UGGCUCAGACGAACGCUGGCGGCAGGCUUAACACAUGCAAGUCGAGCGGGUGUAGUAAUACAUCAGCGGCAGACGGGUGAGUAACGCGUGGGAACGUACCUUUUGGUUCGGAACAACCCAGGGAAACUUGGGCUAAUACCGGAUAAGCCCUUACGGGGAAAGAUUUAUCGCCGAAAGAUCGGCCCGCGUCUGAUUAGCUAGUUGGUGAGGUAAUGGCUCACCAAGGCGACGAUCAGUAGCUGGUCUGAGAGGAUGAUCAGCCACAUUGGGACUGAGACACGGCCCAAAGUCCUACGGGAGGCAGCAGUGGG
This 311-nucleotide ribosomal RNA is filed under the name uncultured Bradyrhizobium sp. RNAcentral describes it as "bacterial SSU rRNA". It matches the Rfam family "Bacterial small subunit ribosomal RNA", at positions 20 to 358 of the family's 1533-position model. The record is from RNAcentral. Lineage: Bacteria; Pseudomonadati; Pseudomonadota; Alphaproteobacteria; Hyphomicrobiales; Nitrobacteraceae.